This 215-nucleotide long non-coding RNA is filed under the name Homo sapiens (human). RNAcentral describes it as "LHRI_LNC1868.1". Lineage: Eukaryota; Metazoa; Chordata; Mammalia; Primates; Hominidae. The record is from RNAcentral.
GGAUUUCAGAUGGGUUCACUAUUACAUACCUGAUUAUCAUGCACAUCCUGUUUUAAAAGUAUAGAAUGGAUGAAUCCAUAUCUGGGACUCAUCUUUUGUGACCAAUAACUGAAUUCUAAGCAUUGUCUCUCAUGGGGAUCCUCACAGAAUUGUUGCCAUCCCUUUAUGAAGGAGCUGGAACAUAUUUUCACUAACAUCUCACUCUGCUCAUGUUU